AUCGAGUCUAGAGUCACAUCUUAACAUUUUGAAAUUGUUCUGGUGUGCUAGAGAUCUCGUAGAUUAAACUCUUGGCUUAUUCAUUGGUUGUAGCAACGCUUGCCCAACCAGUCGCCAGCUUUGAAACAAUU
Molecule: small nucleolar RNA, 131 nt
Organism: Erpetoichthys calabaricus (reedfish)
Lineage: Eukaryota; Metazoa; Chordata; Cladistia; Polypteriformes; Polypteridae
Product: small nucleolar RNA SNORA3/SNORA45 family
Source: Ensembl